Molecule: unclassified non-coding RNA, 390 nt
Filed under: soil metagenome
Description: partial contains 5.8S ribosomal RNA, internal transcribed spacer 2, and large subunit ribosomal RNA
Rfam family: 5.8S ribosomal RNA (bases 2-121)
Source: RNAcentral
GUGAAGAACGCAGUGAAAUGCGAUACUUGGUGUGAAUUGCAGAAUCCCGUGAACCAUCGAGUCUUUGAACGCAAGUUGCGCCCGAAGCCAUUAGGCCGAGGGCACGCCUGCCUGGGUGUCACACGUCGUUGCCCCCCCAUCUACUCCUUCGGGAUUGCGGGGGGCGGAUGAUGGCCUCCCGUGCGCCUCGUCGCGCGGUUGGCAUAAAUGCCAAGUCCUCGGCGACGCACGCCACGACAAUCGGUGGUUGCGAAACCUCGGUUGCCCGUCGUGUGCGGUCGUCGCGCAUCGAGGGCUCGAAAAAAUUGCCGGGCUCCGGCUCGGCUUUCAACGCGACCCCAGGUCAGGCGGGGUUACCCGCUGAGUUUAAGCAUAUCAUUAAGCGGAGGA